AUUGAACGCUGGCGGCAUGCCUUACACAUGCAAGUCGAACGGCAGCGGGCCUUCGGGUGCCGGCGAGUGGCGAACGGGUGAGUAAUGCAUCGGAACGUGCCAUUGAGUGGGGGAUAACGUAGCGAAAGUUACGCUAAUACCGCAUAUUCUGUGAGCAGGAAAGCAGGGGACCGCAAGGCCUUGCGCUCUUUGAGCGGCCGAUGUCAGAUUAGCUAGUUGGUGAGGUAAAGGCUUACCAAGGCGACGAUCUGUAGCGGGUCUGAGAGGAUGAUCCGCCACACUGGAACUGAGACACGGUCCAGACUCCUACGGGAGGCAGCAGUGGGGAAUUUUGGACAAUGGGCGCAAGCCUGAUCCAGCCAUGCCGCGUGAGUGAAGAAGGCCUC
RNAcentral lists this ribosomal RNA (386 nucleotides) under uncultured bacterium. RNAcentral describes it as "bacterial SSU rRNA". It matches the Rfam family "Bacterial small subunit ribosomal RNA", at positions 30 to 418 of the family's 1533-position model. The record is from RNAcentral.